CUUUUAAAAAACGAUUGACACUCUGGAGGGGCGGGGGAAUUGAUAAGUUGGGACUACCGGACAGCUUCUCAGGUUGCUAAGCGACGAGGCGGGAGCGCACGCACACCCUGGCUGCUUUGUAGCACCUGAGGAAACUGUGGCGGCGGCGGCGGCGGCGUCCUGGAGACCCAAGAGACCAAGCGAGCGUGUCGCUCCCUCUCGGGUCCGAGGACCUAGCCCAGGAACCUUCUGCCCGGGGUAGUGUCUGGUGAUGAGGCGAGAGUUUUGCUGGGACGCCUACUCCAAAGCGGCCGGGAGUCGCGCUUCUUCCCCACUCCCGAGACAGGACAGAGAUUCCUUCUGCCAUCAGAUGUCUUUCUGCUUGACUGAACUGCACCUGUGGUCUUUGAAGAAUACCUUACACAUUGCGGAUAGAGACAUUGGGAUCUACCAGUAUUAUGACAAGAAAGAUCCACCAGCGACAGAGCAUGGUAACUUAGAAAAGAAGCAGAAGCUGGCAGAGUCACGAGAUUAUCCUUGGACGCUCAAAAACAGACGCCCAGAAAAACUCCGAGACUCGCUCAAAGAGUUGGAGGAGCUGAUGCAAAACAGUCGGUGUGUGCUAAGCAAAUGGAAGAACAAAUAUGUCUGUCAGCUCCUUUUUGGUUCAGGUGUGCUGGUGUCUCUAAGCCUUUCUGGGCCGCAGCUGGAGAAAGUGGUGAUUGACAGAAGCCUGGUGGGGAAGCUCAUCUCAGACACCAUCAGUGAUGCUCUUCUCACAGACAGUUUUAUCAUCUUAUCAUUUUUGGCACAAAACAAACUAUGUUUUAUUCAGUUUACCAAGAAGAUGGAUUCUUCUGAUGUAAACAAAAGACUGGAAAAACUCUCAGCCUUGGAUUAUAAGAUUUUCUAUUAUGAAAUACCUGGCCCAAUAAACAAGACAACAGAGCGACAUCUAGCUAUCAACUGUGUUCAUGAUAGAGUUGUUUGCUGGUGGCCACUGGUCAACGAUGAUGCUUGGCCUUGGGCCCCCAUUUCUUCUGAGAAGGACAGAGCCAAUCUACUCCUCCUGGGUUAUGCUCAAGGAAGACUAGAGGUUCUGAGUUCUCUCCGCACAGAAUGGGACCCACUGGAUGUUCGCUUUGGCACCAAACAGCCUUAUCAGGUGUUCACAGUGGAGCACUCCGUAAGUGUAGACAAAGAGCCCAUGGCUGACAGCUGCAUCUAUGAAUGCAUUCGGAAUAAAAUCCAGUGUGUGUCAGUCACCAGAAUACCACUAAAGUCAAAGGCCAUCAGCUGCUGCAGGAAUGUUACUGAAGACAAACUGAUUCUGGGCUGUGAAGAUUCUUCGCUAAUUCUUUAUGAAACUCACCGUAGAGUGACUCUCUUAGCACAGACUGAACUUUUGCCUUCAUUAAUAAGCUGCCACCCAAGUGGUGCCAUUCUGUUAGUUGGCAGCAACCAAGGGGAGUUGCAAAUUUUUGAUAUGGCUCUAUCCCCUAUUAACAUCCAACUGUUGGCUGAAGACCGCUUACCCAGGGAGACUCUGCAAUUCAGUAAAUUAUUUCAUGCCUCCAGCAGUCUUGUUCAAAUGCAAUGGAUAGCUCCUCAGGUUGUUUCUCAGAAGGGUGAAGGUAGUGAUAUCUAUGAUCUCCUCUUCCUCAGGUUUGAAAGAGGACCUUUGGGUGUGCUGUUGUUUAAACUAGGCGUCUUCACUCGAGGACAGCUGGGCCUGAUAGACAUCAUCUUCCAGUACAUUCACUGUGAUGAGAUCUAUGAGGCAAUAAACAUCCUGAGCAGCAUGAACUGGGACACUCUGGGCCACCAGUGCUUUAUCAGCAUGAGCGCCAUUGUAAACCAUCUUCUUAGACAGAAGCUCACUCCAGAGAGAGAAGCACAGCUUGAGACAAGCCUUGGAACCUUCUAUGCUCCAACAAGACCACUUCUGGAUUCCACUAUAUUGGAAUAUAGAGAUCAAAUCAGCAAAUAUGCAAGGAGAUUCUUCCAUCACUUGCUCAGAUGGAGUCUUGCCUUGUCGCCCAGGCUGGAGUGCAGUGAUGUGAUCGCGGUUCACUGCUACCUCCAUCUCCUGGGUUCAAGCGAUUCUUCUGCCUCAGCCUCCCGAGUAGCUGGGACCACUGGCAUGUGCCACCACACCCAGCUAAUUUUUGUUGUUUUUAGUAGAGAUGGGAUUUCACCAUGUUGGCCAGGCUGGUCUUGAAUUCCUUACCUUGUGAUCCACCCGCCUCAGCCUCCCAAAGUGCUGGGAUUACAGGCAUAAGCCACCGUGCCCGGCCAUAA
This 2280-nucleotide small RNA is filed under the name Pan troglodytes (chimpanzee). RNAcentral describes it as "processed transcript". Lineage: Eukaryota; Metazoa; Chordata; Mammalia; Primates; Hominidae. The record is from RNAcentral.